CUACGGGCUGCAGCAGUGGGGAAUAUUGCACAAUGGGCGCAAGCCUGAUGCAGCAACGCCGCGUGAAUGAUGAAGGCCUUCGGGUCGUAAAAUUCUGUCCUUAAGGAAGAUAAUGACGGUACUUAAGGAGGAAGCCCCGGCUAACUACGUGCCAGCAGCCGCGGUAAUACGUAGGGGGCUAGCGUUAUCCGGAUUUACUGGGCGUAAAGGGUGCGUAGGUGGUUUUUCAAGUCAGAGGUUAAAGGCUACGGCUCAACCGUAGUAAGCCUUUGAAACUGGAAAACUUGAGUGCAGGAGAGGAAAGUGGAAUUCCCAGUGUAGCGGUGAAAUGCGUAGAUAUUGGGAGGAACACCAGUAGCGAAGGCGGCUUUCUGGACUGUAACUGACACUGAGGCACGAAAGCGUGGGUAGCAAACAGGAUUAGAUACCCCCGUAGUC
This 438-nucleotide ribosomal RNA is filed under the name uncultured bacterium. RNAcentral describes it as "partial 16S ribosomal RNA". It matches the Rfam family "Bacterial small subunit ribosomal RNA", at positions 339 to 795 of the family's 1533-position model. The record is from RNAcentral.